AUUCAGCUGACGAGUCCCAAAUAGGACGAAAAGCGCGUCCUGGAU
RNAcentral lists this non-coding RNA (45 nucleotides) under Schistosoma curassoni. Lineage: Eukaryota; Metazoa; Platyhelminthes; Trematoda; Strigeidida; Schistosomatidae. The record is from RNAcentral.